This is an RNA transcript of Acipenser ruthenus (sterlet), 1647 nucleotides long. It is a transcript of the gene named twinkle mtDNA helicase-like, with no coding region annotated. NCBI's taxonomy places the organism in Eukaryota, Metazoa, Chordata, Actinopteri, Acipenseriformes, Acipenseridae. The transcript is spliced from 2 exons. The record is from RefSeq and is a predicted model, not a curated record.
GAAACAGACGCUUUGUCACGGAAAACGUAUAAAAUAAUAGAUUUCCAUUUGCCCGUGUUUUCACUGAAUACUAUUCAAAAUGUAACAGACGUGGCAACAAUUGUCCUACUGUGUUUUUUUGUUGCAGCCCGGAGUGGUUUUGUGAGCACAUCCACACGGUGCACAAACAUAGCGCUCCGCUGCGGGUCGGCAGAGAUAGAGAUAGAGAUAGACGUGUGGGGAACAAUUAUACUGAAAACAGUCGCUUUGUUGUUUAUGUUGUGUACAUAUAUUUAGCAACAUAGGCUGCCUUGUUCUGCCUGUGGUUGUUGCUGUAUUCCGCGGUGUGUCUUUUCUCGGUUGAACUAGCAGGGGCAAUUGAUUGUAAACAUGAUUGAUUUACAGGGGUAAGCAGUAACGCAUGCUUGCUUGCAGGCCAGCCAAGAGGCAGACGAUGUGCUGAUCCUGCAGGAGAAGAAGCUGGUGUCCAGCCAGGGGAGGAAGUCCCUGCAGGUGGCAAAGAACUGCUUUGAUGGAGAUGUGGGCGUCUUCCCCUUGGAGUUCAACAAGACCUCCCUGACCUUCUCCACACCCAGGAGCAAGACCAAACUGCGCAAAGUCAAAGGGGACGCAGCAGAGACCCCCGAGAAACCAGUGAAACCAGUGAAGACACUGGCCAGUGCUGAGAGAAGCCCCGCAGAGGAGGGGCUGAAGAAGAAGCAGCAGGGAGUGGACCCUUUAAAAUCUCCACACAGGAGAGAGCUCUUAUCAUGUAGAGAGUGGACUGUUUAAAAUCUCCACACAGGAGAGAGCUCUUAUCAUGUAGGGAGUGGACUGUUUAAAAUCUCCACACAGGAGAGAGCUCUUAUCAUGAGGAAAUAGGGAGUGGACUGUUUAAAAUCUCCACACAGGAGAGAGCUCUUAUCAUGUAGGGAGUGGACUGUUUAAAAUCUCCACACAGGAGAGAGCUCUUAUCAUGUAGGGAGUGGACUGUUUAAAAUCUCCACACAGGAGAGAGCUCUUAUCUGAAUUGUUGUGGUGUGAUUGAUGAUGAACUUGGGCUCCUGCUGAUUGCCUAGCACACAGCAUCAGUCAAUAGAAGAAGUCAGAUGAUUCUAUACUGCCAGCGAGCUGCUGUUUGUAAUUGCAGGAGAAAACUAAGACUGACCUUUUAAGUUCCUUUUAUUUAUUUUUGAUUGGAUGGAAUUGUAAAAGCAAUGUGAGUGAGUGCCCUGAAUCAAGUGAAUGGAGAGUGGGACAGAAGGACGUGAUAUUAGAACCAUCACAUUGGCUGCUUUCAUGAUUUGUACAUUUUGAGAUGAGUUAAAGUCACGAUUGCAGUUCGUUAAUGCAAUCGCAACAUUGACAUCUUUGUUAUGCAUACGAGUCCAAAGGAAAUGGAUUAAGGGUAUCGAUGAGUGUUGACCACGACUCGCUCUUCUGUUACAGCAGCUGCUAAGCGUGACUCCUGGGUAUUGUCACUGCAUUGUGCAUCACAUUGUGUAGAGCUCUGUUGUGCUGUACUGGAAUGCAUUUUCAAAUCAGCAGCACAUUAGCAGUAGGGCAAUGUGUGUUUUACAGAAGCAGUACUGUGAAAAAAUUGUUUUACUGUAUAGCUCUCAUUUUUAUACCACUUAGCAUUUAUAUUAUCUUGUUGAAGAUAUUGUU